AUGAAGAACGGAUGGGGGGUCCCUGGGGGAAGGGGGACAGCCCCAGAGGAGGGGAGCUGUGGGGUCCCUGGGGGGGACACCCCAAGACAUUCCCAGGAGAUACGGGGACCUGGGAAGGGACAGACGGGGUCCCCGGGGGGACAGGCAGCAUGCACAGGGGGACAGGUGGAUGCCCCCCGGACUAGGGGGUCCCGGGGAGGGACGGUUACAGGGUCCCAGGGGACGGGAGCAUGCACGGGGGGGGUGGGAGGGGGCAGCCGGGGGCCCCGCAGGUGCAGGGUCCCCGGGGACAGGCAGCAUGCAGGGGGCGGGCGGGGGUGCCCGCAGCUGCGGGGUCCCCGGGGAGGGAUGGCGGCGGGAGGGAGGGGGGGGGCGGGGAGGGGGGGGACCGGCGGGCGGAGGAAUGCGGCCGUCCCGGCUCUCCCGGGGCCGCGGCCGCCCCGCGCUUCCCGCCCGGGGCCGCGGUGGGUGUGGGAAAGCUGCAGGCGUGCGCUUGGGCAACCGCGUGCCCAGCGAGCGACGCGCCCGCCGCGGCCCCCGGCCGGGGAUGCCGCCCCCAGCGCAGCACCCCCCUGCCACAACUCACAUUCAAGCAGGGUUUCUCUUUCUUUUUUUUUUUUUUUUUUUUUUGGCCUCAAUUUGGGCCAAAAAGAAAAAAAAACGGGGGGUGGGGGCCGUAGCACCCGAGCCCCAAGUGGGGGCCUCACAGGCAGGCUACGGGAUCCCCCCCCCGGGGGUAAGGAGCCCCCCACCCCCAGCACCGAGCUGUCCCCAGAGCAAACGGGACCAAAAGCCGGGGGGGCGGCGAGCCCCCCCCCAGCCUCUCGGGGGGCUGACGGGGAGGGGGCCGGGGAGCGGCGUCGCCCGGGGGCUGCGGGGCCGCGGCCACGCUCCCGGAGCGAGGGCUCUGGGGUUCCUCUCGCUUUCUCCUUCCUCCCCGCUCGGGCCGGACAAGCCCAGGCAGCGCCGGCUCCUCGGCUCCCCUUGAUGUUCCUCCCAAACAGCCCCGCCGCCUGCCAGCGGCCUCCCGAAAAAAGAUUUGGGAAGCCGGGGGAGGACGGGGGGAGCGGGCGCGGGACAAGUGAAACUGCCGCGGGCAGCGCCGCUCCCCACCCGGGCACGGCCGCAGCGGGGGGGGGCUGCGGGGCGGGCGGCGGGGCACGGGGUCCUGCCGCCCCCCCCCGGCGCUGCGGGGCACGGGGGGCCGCCGCCCGGCUCCCCUCCGGCGGCGCGUCGAGCGCACGGUGCCAGCCCGGCCCCCCCCCGCCGCAUCCCCGCGCCCCUCGGAGACCAGCCCCGAGGGGGCACCGGGGACCCUCCCCCCGCCGGCAGCGGCCCCCGGCCCGGCGGCUCAGUUUGUGGGGGCGGCGUUGCCCCCCUCGGGCUCCCGCUUGCCUCCCUUGGCAGCCGGCGGCUCCCCGGCGCCCUUGGCCUCGGGCUCGCCGCCGUCCUUGGCGCCGUCGUGCGUCUUCAUGUGCUUGCCCAGGUGGUCGCUGCGCAUGA
Molecule: long non-coding RNA, 1503 nt
Filed under: Cairina moschata (Muscovy duck)
Lineage: Eukaryota; Metazoa; Chordata; Aves; Anseriformes; Anatidae
Description: domestica (muscovy Duck (domestic type)) lncRNA (ENSCMMG00000009631.1)
Source: RNAcentral